CGAGCGGAUCGAUAUGGAGCUUGCUCCUGGAUUCAGCGGCGGACGGGUGAGUAAUGCCUAGGAAUCUGCCUGGUAGUGGGGGACAACGUUUCGAAAGGAACGCUAAUACCGCAUACGUCCUACGGGAGAAAGCAGGGGACCUUCGGGCCUUGCGCUAUCAGAUGAGCCUAGGUCGGAUUAUCUAGUUGGUGAGGUAAUGGCUCACCAAGGCGACGAUCCGUAACUGGUCUGAGAGGAUGAUCAGUCACACUGGAACUGAGACACGGUCCAGACUCCUACGGGAGGCAGCAGUGGGGAAUAUUGGACAAUGGGCGAAAGCCUGAUCCAGCCAUGCCGCGUGUGUGAAGAAGGUCUUCGGAUUGUAAAGCACUUUAAGUUGGGAGGAAGGGUUGUAGAUUAAUACUCUGCAAUUUUGACGUUACCGACAGAAUAAGCACCGGCUAACUCUGUGCCAGCAGCCGCGGUAAUACAGAGGGUGCAAGCGUUAAUCGGAAUUACUGGGCGUAAAGCGCGCGUAGGUGGUUUGUUAAGUUGGAUGUGAAAUCCCCGGGCUCAACCUGGGAACUGCAUCCAAAACUGGCAAGCUAGAGUAUGGUAGAGGGUGGUGGAAUUUCCUGUGUAGCGGUGAAAUGCGUAGAUAUAGGAAGGAACACCAGUGGCGAAGGCGACCACCUGGACUGAUACUGACACUGAGGUGCGAAAGCGUGGGGAGCAAACAGGAUUAGAUA
This 728-nucleotide ribosomal RNA is filed under the name Pseudomonas sp. YIM016. Its description in RNAcentral is "bacterial SSU rRNA". It matches the Rfam family "Bacterial small subunit ribosomal RNA", at positions 63 to 784 of the family's 1533-position model. Lineage: Bacteria; Pseudomonadati; Pseudomonadota; Gammaproteobacteria; Pseudomonadales; Pseudomonadaceae. The record is from RNAcentral.